Molecule: unclassified non-coding RNA, 337 nt
Filed under: soil metagenome
Description: partial contains 5.8S ribosomal RNA, internal transcribed spacer 2, and large subunit ribosomal RNA
Rfam family: 5.8S ribosomal RNA (bases 1-120)
Source: RNAcentral
GAUGAAGAACGUAGCGAAAUGCGAUAAGUAAUGUGAAUUGCAGAAUUCAGUGAAUCAUCGAAUCUUUGAACGCACAUUGCGCCCCUUGGUAUUCCAUGGGGCAUGCCUGUUCGAGCGUCAUUUGUACCUUCAAGCUCUGCUUGGUGUUGGGUGUUUGUCUCGCCUCUGCGUGUAGACUCGCCUCAAAACAAUUGGCAGCCGGCGUAUUGAUUUCGGAGCGCAGUACAUCUCGCGCUUUGCACUCAUAACGACGACGUCCAAAAGUACAUUUUUACACUCUUGACCUCGGAUCAGGUAGGGAUACCCGCUGAACUUAAGCAUAUCAAUAAACGGAGGA